GGCCAGAUCAUCACCACCUUCUGCCUUCUCCUUAAUAAUUGCUCGCAACUCCUUCACUGCUGACACCCGCUUCUCAUCGGUCUCAUUCAGCUCAUCCUUGGCCUGCAGAGAGGAGCCAGUCCAGGAGUUUCUUUGAUUACCUUCUGCAUAGUGUGGUCUGGCACGUUGGUGCAGGGUCCAAAAACUGGUCCGUGGUCCUUGACGGUCAGACGUUCCAGCUUGGCCCUGAGCGCCUGCUCCUCCUCCGACACCAUACGGUAAACAGAAUGACCCCGACCGUGUUAACGUCACUGAUGAUGCUAUGACGAAGGCGCAGGCAGCCAACCAACCAGUAAUCUGCUAAUUCAGGCCUGAUCUGCUAAAUAAAGAGAUUUGUGGAGCAAAAUUAGAUGGAUUGUGCAAACAAUGCUAUGCUCUGUUCUUCCCUUGUUGCCUGAGCUUUAGGGCCAAGUCCAGCCUUUAGACGUGUGUGUGUUAGAUUGUUUGAGUACGUACAAAGAUGCUUGAGGAUUAAAGCAUGAGAUGUAAAAACAUAUGUACAGCUCCACCUGGAGCUUACUGCACUAGCCUACAUAAAGUAAAUCGUGCACAUUAGUUAAAAAGAAUGUUUCCUUUUGUUUGGCUUAUCAUCCUUUAAAAACAGCUUUUGCCAAGUUAAAUGAGGAUACUGGGCCAGGUUAUGGAAGGGAUUUUGUAACCCAUUUGGCCAGGGUGCCAUCACAUUAUUUCACAUGCUGAUCCUGUAUUUAUUCCUGACACUUAAUAGUAGGUCUGAAUGAUCCCCAAAUUAUUUCCCAACACUUAAAGUGAGAUUUCAUUAGGUAAUGCUACUGCUGCUAACAGAAACCCACAACCAGAACUGAUAUGACACAGUGUACUUAGGAAACCAACCUGAAAGAAGAAUGUACAGUAAAGGUCUUUCAUCAUCAGGGAAUGACUUUAGCGAGGCUGGAGGUGUCUGCAUUGUGAAUUUCUAAAAUCGUCCUCAUAAGCACUAAUCAUAUAUAUUUUUUUAAAAGUACAGUGAUAAAUUCCUAAAGUGAGGCCAAACAAUGAGACAAUUUUUUUUCCCAAACAUGCUGCAGUUUUAUUAGGACAUUUCACAGCAGCUUACAAUGUGAGGUGAUCAAAAUACUGUCACAACUAACCCGAACCCUGCCAACAUCAGUCCACAUGACCAAUAUCAGCUCAUAGUAAUAUUUGUGAUUUCCAAGUGUUUCUAUCAAGGCAGUAAUUAACAUUUCAAAAGCAGUCACUUAUCUUGUGUUUUCAAGAACAGCUACAUUUAUGUCAUCUUUUCCAAUGAAUAGCUGAAUUUUUCAAGUAAGAGCAGAUACUUGUUAGAGAACUGCAAACCUCAAACGCAAGAGCACCAACUCUUACCUUAUAAAUACACUCAAGUCUGGAGCGACUAAUUUGAUCAACCAUUUCUACAGACAACCAAAAAUCUUUUGUUAGAAGCUCUGAACAUGUUUAACAUGUUAAAAGCAAUAAGUUAGAAAGUGUUUUUGUUCCACAUUUUAAAGUUAUUUCUCUCCAAA
Molecule: long non-coding RNA, 1541 nt
Organism: Oreochromis niloticus (Nile tilapia)
Lineage: Eukaryota; Metazoa; Chordata; Actinopteri; Cichliformes; Cichlidae
Exons: 3
Source: RefSeq, a predicted model, not a curated record